UACAGAGGUCCCAAGCGUUGUUCGGAUUUAUUGGGCGUAAAGGGUGCGUAGGCGGCGGAGUAAGUUGGGUGUGAAAUCCCGGGGCUCAACCUCGGAAUGGCAUUCGAUACUGCUUCGCUCGAGUACUGGAGAGGAGGCUGGAAUUUACGGUGUAGCAGUGAAAUGCGUAGAUAUCGUAAGGAAGACCAGUGGCGAAGGCGAAUCUCUGGACAGUUACUGACACUGAGGCACGAAGGCCAGGGGAGCAAACGGG
RNAcentral lists this ribosomal RNA (253 nucleotides) under uncultured bacterium. RNAcentral's name for it is "partial 16S ribosomal RNA". It matches the Rfam family "Bacterial small subunit ribosomal RNA", at positions 524 to 776 of the family's 1533-position model. The record is from RNAcentral.